Molecule: ribosomal RNA, 392 nt
Filed under: uncultured bacterium
Lineage: Bacteria
Description: partial 16S ribosomal RNA
Rfam family: Bacterial small subunit ribosomal RNA
Source: RNAcentral
AUACGGAGGAUGCGAGCGUUAUCCGGAUUUAUUGGGUUUAAAGGGUGCGCAGGCGGCCAUUUAAGUCAGCGGUUAAAUCGUGGGGCUCAACCCCAUUCUGCCGUUGAUACUGGGUGGCUUGAUUGCGGUCGAGGUUGGCGGAAUUCGUUGUGUAGCGGUGAAAUGCAUAGAUAUGACGAAGAACACCGAUUGCGUAGGCAGCUGACCAGACCGCAAAUGACGCUCAUGCACGAAAGUGCGGGGAUCGAACAGGAUUAGAUACCCUGGUAGUCCGCACAGUAAACGAUGAAUACUUGUUUUCGGCGAUAUAAUGUCGGAGGCAAAGCGAAAGCGAUAAGUAUUCCACCUGGGGAGUACGCCGGCAACGGUGAAGCUCAAAGGAAUUGACGGGG